AACGUACCAUUCAGUGGGGGAUAACGUAGCGAAAGUUACGCUAAUACCGCAUAUUCUGUGAGCAGGAAAGCAGGGGAUCGCAAGACCUUGCGCUGAUUGAGCGGCCGAUAUCAGAUUAGCUAGUUGGCGGGGUAAUAGCCCACCAAGGCGACGAUCUGUAGCGGGUCUGAGAGGAUGAUCCGCCACACUGGGACUGAGACACGGCCCAGACUCCUACGGGAGGCAGCAGUGGGGAAUUUUGGACAAUGGGCGCAAGCCUGAUCCAGCCAUGCCGCGUGAGUGAAGAAGGCCUUCGGGUUGUAAAGCUCUUUCGCGAGGGAAGAAAACGCACUGGAUAAUACCUAGUGUGUAUGACGGUACCUUGAUAAGAAGCACCGGCUAACUACGUGCCAGCAGCCGCGGUAAUACGUAGGGUGCGAGCGUUAAUCGGAAUUACUGGGCGUAAAGCGUGCGCAGGCGGUUUGUUAAGACAGGCGUGAAAUCCCCGGGCUCAACCUGGGAAUGGCGU
This 508-nucleotide ribosomal RNA is filed under the name uncultured bacterium. RNAcentral describes it as "bacterial SSU rRNA". It matches the Rfam family "Bacterial small subunit ribosomal RNA", at positions 123 to 626 of the family's 1533-position model. The record is from RNAcentral.